RNAcentral lists this antisense RNA (187 nucleotides) under Chroococcidiopsis thermalis PCC 7203. RNAcentral's name for it is "Antisense RNA which regulates isiA expression". It matches the Rfam family "Antisense RNA which regulates isiA expression". Lineage: Bacteria; Bacillati; Cyanobacteriota; Cyanophyceae; Chroococcidiopsidales; Chroococcidiopsidaceae. The record is from Rfam by way of RNAcentral.
AGUAGCCAAAAAUGCGGACUGGGUUCAGCGUGGGAUGAUUAAUAACCCUCACAUCUCCGCCGCCAGCUACCCAAGGGUCGAACAAUCCACCCCAAAACAUCGCCUUGGCGACGAGUAGUAAAGCACCCAAACCCAAAAGCAUCAGGUGGAUACCUAAGAUCGUCGUCAUCUUGUCGGUAUCUUUCCA